Molecule: ribosomal RNA, 333 nt
Filed under: uncultured bacterium
Lineage: Bacteria
Description: bacterial SSU rRNA
Rfam family: Bacterial small subunit ribosomal RNA
Source: RNAcentral
CGUGUAGGCGGUUGGUUCAAGUCGGGUGUGAAAGCCUGGGGCUCAGCCCCAGAAGUGCAUCCGAAACUAGCCAGCUAGAGCGCGAUAGAGGAGGGUGGAAUUCCUGGUGUAGCGGUGAAAUGCGUAGAUAUCAGGAGGAACACCGGCGGCGAAGGCGGCCCUCUGGAUCGUUGCUGACGCUGAGACGCGAAAGCGUGGGGAGCAAACAGGAUUAGAUACCCUGGUAGUCCACGCCUUAAACGAUGGGUACUAGGUGUUCGGGGUGUUGACCCCCUGAGUGCCGCAGUUAACGCAUUAAGUACCCCGCCUGGGGACUACGGCCGCAAGGUUAAA